GAUGAACGCUGGCGGCGUGCCUAAUACAUGCAAGUCGAGCGAACAGAUGAGGAGCUUGCUCCUCUGACGUUAGCGGCGGACGGGUGAGUAACACGUGGAUAACCUACCUAUAAGACUGGGAUAACUUCGGGAAACCGGAGCUAAUACCGGAUAAUAUAUUGAACCGCAUGGUUCAAUAGUGAAAGACGGUUUUGCUGUCACUUAUAGAUGGAUCCGCGCCGCAUUAGCUAGUUGGUAAGGUAGCGGCUUACCAAGGCAACGAUGCGUAGCCGACCUGAGGGGGUGAUCGGCCACACUGGAACUGAGACACGGUCCAGACUCCUACGGGAGGCAGCAGUAGGGAAUCUUCCGCAAUGGGCGAAAGCCUGACGGAGCAACGCCGCGUGAGUGAUGAAGGUCUUCGGAUCGUAAAACUCUGUUAUUAGGGAAGAACAAAUGUGUAAGUAACUAUGCACGUCUUGACGGUACCUAAUCAGAAAGCCACGGCUAACUACGUG
This 497-nucleotide ribosomal RNA is filed under the name uncultured bacterium. RNAcentral describes it as "partial 16S ribosomal RNA". It matches the Rfam family "Bacterial small subunit ribosomal RNA", at positions 28 to 507 of the family's 1533-position model. The record is from RNAcentral.